This 414-nucleotide ribosomal RNA is filed under the name uncultured bacterium. Its description in RNAcentral is "bacterial SSU rRNA". It matches the Rfam family "Bacterial small subunit ribosomal RNA", at positions 29 to 489 of the family's 1533-position model. The record is from RNAcentral.
AACGAACGCUGGCGGCAGGCCUAACACAUGCAAGUCGAGCGCCCAGCAAUGGGAGCGGCGGACGGGUGAGUAACGCGUGGGAAUUUUUCCUGGAGUACGGAACAACCGAGGGAAACUUCGGCUAAUACCGUAUGAUGCCGAGAGGCCAAAGAUUUAUCGCUCUGGGGUGAGCCCGCGUCAGAUUAGGUAGUUGGUGGGGUAAAGGCCUACCAAGCCUGCGAUCUGUAGCUGGUCNGAGAGGACGAUCAGCCACACUGGGACUGAGACACGGCCCAGACUCCUACGGGAGGCAGCAGUGGGGAAGUCUUGCGCAAUGGGCGAAAGCCUGACGCAGCCAUGCCGCGUGAGUGAAGAAGGUCUUAGGAUUGUAAAGCUCUUUCGCUCGUGACGAUGAUGACGGUAACGAGAGAAGAA